RNAcentral lists this ribosomal RNA (333 nucleotides) under uncultured bacterium. Its description in RNAcentral is "bacterial SSU rRNA". It matches the Rfam family "Bacterial small subunit ribosomal RNA", at positions 22 to 356 of the family's 1533-position model. The record is from RNAcentral.
GCUCAGAUUGAACGCUGGCGGCAUGCCUUACACAUGCAAGUCGAACGGUAACGGGUCCUUCGGGAUGCCGACGAGUGGCGAACGGGUGAGUAAUAUAUCGGAACGUGCCCAGUAGUGGGGGAUAACUGCUCGAAAGAGCAGCUAAUACCGCAUACGACCUGAGGGUGAAAGGGGGGGGAUCGCAAGACCUCUCGCUAUUGGAGCGGCCGAUAUCAGAUUAGCUAGUUGGUGGGGUAAAGGCCUACCAAGGCAACGAUCUGUAGUUGGUCUGAGAGGACGACCAGCCACACUGGGACUGAGACACGGCCCAGACUCCUACGGGAGGCAGCAGUA